AACGUAGGAGCCUAGCGUUAUCCGAAUUUACUGGGCGUAAAGCGCGUGCAGGCGGCUUCGUAAGUGGAUUGUGAAAUCUCCCGGCUCAACUGGGAGGGGACGGUCCAGACUGCGAGGCUGGAGGCAGGGAGAGGGAGGUGGAAUUCCCGGUGUAGUGGUGAAAUGCGUAGAGAUCGGGAGGAACACCAGUGGCGAAAGCGGCCUCCUGGCCCUGACCUGACGCUGAGACGCGAAAGCGUGGGGAGCGAACAGG
RNAcentral lists this ribosomal RNA (253 nucleotides) under uncultured bacterium. RNAcentral describes it as "partial 16S ribosomal RNA". It matches the Rfam family "Bacterial small subunit ribosomal RNA", at positions 524 to 776 of the family's 1533-position model. The record is from RNAcentral.